CCAACAGGGAUUGCCUCAGUAACGGCGAGUGAAGCGGCAACAGCUCAAAUUUGAAAUCUGGUCCUCUCCGGUCCCGAGUUGUAAUUUGUAGAGGAUGUUUCGGGUGCGGCGCGGGUCUAAGUCCUUUGGAACAGGGCGUCGUAGAGGGUGAGAACCCCGUAUGCGACCCGUGGCCAACCCCAUACGAAACCCCUUCGACGAGUCGAGUUGUUUGGGAAUGCAGCUCAAAAUGGGUGGUAAAUUUCAUCUAAAGCUAAAUACCGGCCAGAGACCGAUAGCGCACAAGUAGAGUGAUCGAAAGAUGAAAAGCACUUUGGAAAGAGAGUUAAAAAGUACGUGAAAUUGUUGAAAGGGAAGCGCUUGCAACCAGACCUGUCCGCGGGCGAUCAACCUCCCGUUCUCGGGGGUGCACUCGUCCGCGACCAGGCCAGCAUCGGUUCGGGCGGUCGGACAAAGGCCUUGGGAAUGUAGCUCCCUCCGGGGAGUCUUAUAGCCCUGGGUGCAAUGCGGCCAGCCCGGACCGAGGACCGCGCUUCGGCUAGGAUGCUGGCGUAAUGGUUGUCAGCGACCCGUCUUGAAACACGGACCAAGGAGUCUAACAUCUAUGCAAGUGUUUGGGUGUCAAACCCAUGCGCGUAAUGAAAGUGAAUGGAGGUGAGAACCGUUUCAGGGUACAUCAUCGACCGAUCCAGAUGUCUUCGGAUGGAUUUGAGUAUGAGCAUAGCUGUUGGGACCCGAAAGAUGGUGAACUAUGCCUGAAUAGGGUGAAGCCAGAGGAAACUCUGGUGGAGGCUCGCAGCGGUUCUGACGUGCAAAUCGAUCGUCAAAUUUGGGUAUAGGGGCGAAAGACUAAUCGAACCAUCUAAACCGACCCUACUGGAUGGUUCCGUCGGGCCUUCUACCAUUCUACCACAAGGUUCUGAGUAGUCCUCCCCCCCGGGGGGGGCCACAUUGCCAGUCUUCGGGUGUGCCUUCGGGUUACCCGCAGCGAGUCCCCGGGCUACGUUCACAGACUAGACAGCAAUGGCCGCGCCCGGGGCGCGGUUCAAAGAUAGCCGAUCCCCUCGUGCUCCACGGGGGCUGUUCAGAGUAGCUGGUUCCUGCCGAAGUUUCCCUCAGGAUAGCAGUAACGAUUUCAGUUUUAUGAGGUAAAGCGAAUGAUUAGAGGCCUUGGGGUUGAAACAACCUUAACCUAUUCUCAAACUUUAAAUAUGUAAGAAGUCCUUGUUACUUAGUUGAACGUGGACAUUUGAAUGUACCGUUACUAGUGGGCCAUUUUUGGUAAGCAGAACUGGCGAUGCGGGAUGAACCGAACGCGAGGUUAAGGUGCCGGAAUGUACGCUCAUCAGACACCAUUUUGUGGUGUCGCCCACCCCGAGCUUCCAGAGGAGGCCCUGGGGAAGUCCCUUCGGGGCGAGGUCUUUGAUCUGCGUGGAGCUCUAGCGGUCGCUAUCGCUAGUCCACCCGCAGCCACGGUUCCGUGGCCCACAGAUCAAGAGGAGGCCGGUGGUCGCUCCCCGCGACCAUCCAAGAUAUGAUCGAUCUUCCGGGCGUGCAGUUCGGAGUUGGCGAGCAAAAGGUGUUGAUUCAUCUAGACAGCCGGACGGUGGCCAUGGAAGUCGGAAACCGCUAAGGAGUGUGUAACAACUCACCGGCCGAAUGAAUCAGCCCUGAAAAUGGAUGGCGCUCAAGCGUGCUACCCAUACCUCGCCGCCAGGUUAGAAACGAUGCCCUGGCGAGUAGGCAGGCGUGGGGGUCAGUGACGAAGCCU
This 1771-nucleotide ribosomal RNA is filed under the name Lepraria finkii. RNAcentral's name for it is "eukaryotic LSU rRNA". It matches the Rfam family "Eukaryotic large subunit ribosomal RNA", at positions 65 to 1411 of the family's 3401-position model. The record is from RNAcentral. Lineage: Eukaryota; Fungi; Ascomycota; Lecanoromycetes; Lecanorales; Stereocaulaceae.